Mesocricetus auratus (golden hamster) is the source of this 71-nucleotide non-coding RNA. The record is from Rfam. NCBI's taxonomy places the organism in Eukaryota, Metazoa, Chordata, Mammalia, Rodentia, Cricetidae.
GGGGCUAGAGCUCAGAGGUUAAGAGCACUGGCUGCUUAUCCAGAGGUUCUGAGUUCAAUUCCCAGUACCCA